AGAGUUUGAUCCUGGCUCAGAGUGAACGCUGGCGGCAGGCCUAACACAUGCAAGUCGAACGGCAGCACGGCAGUAGCAAUACUGUGGGUGGCGAGUGGCGGACGGGUGAGGAAUACAUCGGGAUCUACCCUGUUGUGGGGGAUAACGUAGGGAAACUUACGCUAAUACCGCAUAAGAACUGAGGUUGAAAGCGGCGGACCGCAAGGCGUCGCGCGAUUGGAUGAACCGAUGUCCGAUUAGCUAGUUGGCGGGGUAAAGGCCCACCAAGGCGACGAUCGGUAGCUGGUCUGAGAGGACGACCAGCCACACUGGAACUGAGACACGGUCCAGACUCCUACGGGAGGCAGCAGUGGGGAAUAUUGGACAAUGGGCGCAAGCCUGAUCCAGCCAUGCCGCGUGGGUGAAGAAGGCCUUCGGGUUGUAAAGCCCUUUUGUCCGGAAAGAAAAGCAUUCGGUUAAUACCCGGGUGUUCUGACGGUACCGGAAGAAUAAGCACCGGCUAACUUCGUG
Molecule: ribosomal RNA, 510 nt
Filed under: uncultured bacterium
Lineage: Bacteria
Description: bacterial SSU rRNA
Rfam family: Bacterial small subunit ribosomal RNA
Source: RNAcentral